AAUGAGUUGUGAUGGGGUUUGAUGCUGGCAGCCAAUUNUUUGGAUGCAUGUGCUUGCCCUAACAAUCAUCUUCCAAACACCUGUGCACAUUUUUGAGGGANUUUCGAGUUGAUUGCCGCUUUUGGGUGAUUUUCUUGCAUUCCCUUAAAUCAUUAUACGCUAUUAACAAUUCUGAACGUGCCCUGUGCCGCAAGGCCAUUAAUAUAAUACAACUUUUAACAACGGAUCUCUUGGCUCUCGCAUCGAUGAAGAACGCAGCGAAAUGCGAUAAGUAAUGUGAAUUGCAGAAUUCAGUGAAUCAUCGAAUCUUUGAACGCACCUUGCGCUCCCUGGUAUUCCGGGGAGCACGCCUGUUCGAGUGUCGCGAAAUUUCUCAAGCUUGGAUGGCUUUUUGUCUNUCCUUAGCCUUGGUUGUUGGGCUUUGCCGUGUCUUUAUUGGUACGGCUGGCCUUAAAAGCAUUAGCUGACCCUUGUGUAGCACCGGUUCUACUCAGCGUGAUAACAGUCUGAUCGCUGAGGACAUCUUUUGAGGUGGCCAGUUCUCAUUUGGGUUGCUUCUAAACAUGGUUUCGCAGAUUGUUCAAUCUGUGUUCCACUUUUCAGCUUUGACCUCGAAUCAGGUGGGACUACCCGCUGAACUUAAGCAUAUCAAUAAGCGGAGGAAAGAAACUAACAAGGANUCCCCUAGUAACGGCGAGUGAAGCGGGGAAGAGCUCAAAUUUAAAAUCUGGUAAUCUUUGGUUGCCCGAAUUGUAAUCUAGAGAAGCGUUUCCGUG
RNAcentral lists this ribosomal RNA (776 nucleotides) under uncultured fungus. RNAcentral's name for it is "eukaryotic LSU rRNA". The stretch from base 211 to 364 matches the Rfam family "5.8S ribosomal RNA". Lineage: Eukaryota; Fungi. The record is from RNAcentral.